GACGAACGCUGGCGGCGUGCUUAACACAUGCAAGUCGAACGGAAAGGCCCUGCUUUUGUGGGGUGCUCGAGUGGCGAACGGGUGAGUAACACGUGAGUAACCUGCCCUUGACUUUGGGAUAACUUCAGGAAACUGGGGCUAAUACCGGAUAGGAGCUCCUGCUGCAUGGUGGGGGUUGGAAAGUUUCGGCGGUUGGGGAUGGACUCGCGGCUUAUCAGCUUGUUGGUGGGGUAGUGGCUUACCAAGGCUUUGACGGGUAGCCGGCCUGAGAGGGUGACCGGCAACAUUGGGACUGGGAUACGGCCCAGACUCCUACGGGAGGCAGCGGUGGGGAAUAUUGAACAAGGGGCGGAAGCCGGAUGCAGCAACGCCGCGGGCGGGAUGACGGCCUUCGGGUUGUAAACCGCUUUCGCCGGGGACGAAGCGUGGGUGACGGUAAUGGGUAAAGAAGCACCGGCUAACUACGU
RNAcentral lists this ribosomal RNA (467 nucleotides) under uncultured bacterium. RNAcentral describes it as "partial 16S ribosomal RNA". It matches the Rfam family "Bacterial small subunit ribosomal RNA", at positions 28 to 506 of the family's 1533-position model. The record is from RNAcentral.